This 320-nucleotide ribosomal RNA is filed under the name Bacillus sp. (in: firmicutes). RNAcentral's name for it is "bacterial SSU rRNA". It matches the Rfam family "Bacterial small subunit ribosomal RNA", at positions 565 to 883 of the family's 1533-position model. The record is from RNAcentral. Lineage: Bacteria; Bacillati; Bacillota; Bacilli; Caryophanales; Bacillaceae.
GCGCGCGCAGGUGGUUUCUUAAGUCUGAUGUGAAAGCCCACGGCUCAACCGUGGAGGGUCAUUGGAAACUGGGAGACUUGAGUGCAGAAGAGGAAAGUGGAAUUCCAUGUGUAGCGGUGAAAUGCGUAGAGAUAUGGAGGAACACCAGUGGCGAAGGCGACUUUCUGGUCUGUAACUGACACUGAGGCGCGAAAGCGUGGGGAGCAAACAGGAUUAGAUACCCUGGUAGUCCACGCCGUAAACGAUGAGUGCUAAGUGUUAGAGGGUUUCCGCCCUUUAGUGCUGAAGUUAACGCAUUAAGCACUCCGCCUGGGGAGUAC